GACGAACGCUGGCGGCGUGCUUAACACAUGCAAGUCGAACGGAAAGGCCCUGCUUGCAGGGUACUCGAGUGGCGAACGGGUGAGUAACACGUGGGUGAUCUGCCCUGCACUUCGGGAUAAGCCUGGGAAACUGGGUCUAAUACCGGAUAGGAGCCAUUUUUAGUGUGAUGGUUGGAAAGUUUUUUCGGUGUAGGAUGAGCUCGCGGCCUAUCAGCUUGUUGGUGGGGUAAUGGCCUACCAAGGCGGCGACGGGUAGCCGGCCUGAGAGGGUGGACGGCCACAUUGGGACUGAGAUACGGCCCAGACUCCUACGGGAGGCAGCAGUGGGGAAGAUUGAACAAUGGGCGCAAGCCUGAUGCAGCGAAGCCGCGUGGGGGAUGACGGCCUUCGGGUUGUAAACUACUUUCGCUAGGGACGAAGCUUUUUGUGACGGUACCUAGAUAAGAAGAACCGGCUAACUAAGUG
This 465-nucleotide ribosomal RNA is filed under the name uncultured bacterium. RNAcentral describes it as "partial 16S ribosomal RNA". It matches the Rfam family "Bacterial small subunit ribosomal RNA", at positions 28 to 507 of the family's 1533-position model. The record is from RNAcentral.